GACGAACGCUGGCGGCGUGCUUAACACAUGCAAGUCGAACGAAGAGCGAUGGAAGCUUGCUUCUAUCAAUCUUAGUGGCGAACGGGUGAGUAACGCGUAAUCAACCUGCCCUUCAGAGGGGGACAACAGUUGGAAACGACUGCUAAUACCGCAUACGAUCUAAUCUCGGCAUCGAGGAAAGAUGAAAGGUGGCCUCUAUUUAUAAGCUAUCACUGAAGGAGGGGAUUGCGUCUGAUUAGCUAGUUGGAGGGGUAACGGCCCACCAAGGCGAUGAUCAGUAGCCGGUCUGAGAGGAUGAACGGCCACAUUGGGACUGAGACACGGCCCAGACUCCUACGGGAGGCAGCAGUGGGGAAUCUUCCGCAAUGGACGAAAGUCUGACGGAGCAACGCCGCGUGAGUGAUGACGGCCUUCGGGUUGUAAAGCUCUGUUAAUCGGGACGAAAGGCCUUCUUGCGAACAGUUAGAAGGAUUGACGGUACCGGAAUAGAAAGCCACGGCUAACCACGUG
This 510-nucleotide ribosomal RNA is filed under the name uncultured bacterium. RNAcentral describes it as "partial 16S ribosomal RNA". It matches the Rfam family "Bacterial small subunit ribosomal RNA", at positions 28 to 507 of the family's 1533-position model. The record is from RNAcentral.